CACGGGGGUUGCGAGCGUUGUCCGGAAUUACUAGGUGUAAAGGGCAGGCAGGCGGAUCCAUAAGUUUAUCGUUUAAGGCGUCGGCUUAACCGGCGUAGGGCGGUAGAUACUGUGGAUCUGGAAUGCGGUUGGGGAAGACAGAAUUCCUGGUGUAGCGGUGGAAUGCGCAGAGAUCAGGAGGAAUACCGAAGGCGAAGGCAGUCUUCCAAGCCGUUAUUGACGCUCAACUGCGAAGGUGUGGGUAUCAAACAGGAUUAGAUACCCCCGUAGUCCCUGAG
Molecule: ribosomal RNA, 278 nt
Filed under: uncultured prokaryote
Description: partial 16S ribosomal RNA
Rfam family: Bacterial small subunit ribosomal RNA
Source: RNAcentral